This 104-nucleotide transfer RNA is filed under the name Thermoproteus sp. CP80. RNAcentral's name for it is "tRNA-Ser". Lineage: Archaea; Thermoproteati; Thermoproteota; Thermoprotei; Thermoproteales; Thermoproteaceae. RNAcentral also lists the same sequence under 3 other names. The record is from RNAcentral.
GCCGGGGUGGCCGAGCUGGUCCAAGGCGCGGGCCUGCUAAGUCCGUCCCCGCAAGGGGGCGUGGGUUCAGGCCGAGCCGCCCAGAAAUCCCACCCCCGGCGCCA